GGCUAGGAUCUCCCAAUCUAGAGAAUUUUUGGUGCAUGUGCCUUCGAAGGUGAGUCCCAUCAUAUCAACGCUCCGGAUCACUGGACAAUUGUCUCCUCUUGUACAAACUGAAAGCCUGAAGCUACCGUACAAUCUCUUGCACUGUUUUAUAUAACAAAAUGGGUUGCCUUUUCUGCUUGCCUAGGAUUUCAAAAUGCCGAUGAAGUUGUGAGGCAGCUCUCGCAAUUGCAGACAUCUUGUCCGCUUCGCCGAAU
This is a long non-coding RNA of Magnolia sinica, 254 nucleotides long. RefSeq lists it as uncharacterized. Lineage: Eukaryota; Viridiplantae; Streptophyta; Magnoliopsida; Magnoliales; Magnoliaceae. The record is from RefSeq and is a predicted model, not a curated record. The transcript has 2 exons.